This 405-nucleotide ribosomal RNA is filed under the name uncultured bacterium. RNAcentral's name for it is "partial 16S ribosomal RNA". It matches the Rfam family "Bacterial small subunit ribosomal RNA", at positions 28 to 526 of the family's 1533-position model. The record is from RNAcentral.
GAUGAACGCUGGCGGCUUGCCUAAUACAUGCAAGUCGAGCGAAGCGGGGACGGGUGAGGAACACGUGGAUAACCUCCUAUAAGACUGGGAUAACUUCGGGAAACCGGAGAUAAAACGGAUAAUUAUUGAUGGAUCCGUGAUGCAUUAGCUAGUUGUUAAGGUAACGGCUUACAAAGGCCACGAGUCAUAGCCGACCUGAGAUGGUGCUCGGCAACACUUGUACUGAGACACGGUCCAGACUCCUACGGGAGGCAGCAGUAGUGAAUCGUCCGCAAUGGGCGAAAGCCUGACGCAGCCACGCCGCGUGAGUGAGGAAGGUCUUCGGAUCGUAAAACUCUUUUAGUAGGGAAGCGGUACCUACGCAGAAAGCCACGGCUAACUACGUGCCAGCAGCCGCGGUAAUUC